CAAAAAAUUAUCAGAGACAAAAUGAGAUUCAGUAAUUUGAGUAAUAACAUGAUAAGCGAACUGUGAACAACAAUUACAAUUCAAAUACUGCAGCUAGACUUUGCAGUAGUUAAGCAAGUUGAUGGAUGUGUAAAGUCACUGGUAAGCAAUUGCAACGUACUUGUCCGGAAAAAUUUUUUCCCUAAAAAGUUGUCGAUGUGGGGGGGGGAGGUUGUUGCUUUCCGAAAAAAUUUUUUGGCAGAGCACCCCCCCUACUAGACCAUGCUGGAUCCAUCCCUGACUGUUGCUGAGACUGGCAAAUGAUGUUGACGAAAUAUUUAUGCACAUCUUUACAUUAAUUAAUAAUCAGGCUUAAUAAGCUUCCUAUAUAGCAACCCAGUGUGGAUUUUUGUCUGCAUAUAUUAACUUACUAGCAGUAAUAGCAUGUCAACUGAUCGACUUUUCUUUGACGGUCUGUUUAUAUGUCUGAGAUAUGUCCAUUGUUAGCAUAAUAUGAAAUAAUUCCAACGGCCUACUCAUAUGUUCACUUGACUGUGUUGCUACAUUUCAGGGUAUACUAUAUUUUUUGAUAAUGCUCACAAUUUCUUUCUUAUUAUAUAGUUUUGCAGUUCUGACUGAGUACAAUCCUAAUCAUUACAAUAAAUCGUGUCAUCGGAAGCUGAUGUAUUAAUUGAUUGUUCAGAAACAGAUUGUUCAG
Molecule: non-coding RNA, 697 nt
Organism: Paramuricea clavata
Lineage: Eukaryota; Metazoa; Cnidaria; Anthozoa; Malacalcyonacea; Plexauridae
Source: the annotation of a GenBank genome assembly